CGGGGGGGGCAAGCGUUGUUCGGAAUUACUGGGCGUAAAGGGCCAGUAGGCGGCCAACUAAGUCGGAUGUGAAAUCCCCAGGCUCAACCUGGGAACUGCAUCCGAUACUGGAUGGCUUGAAUUCGGGAGAGGGAUGCAGAAUUCCAGGUGUAGCGGUGAAAUGCGUAGAUAUCUGGAGGAAUACCGGUGGCGAAGGCGGCAUCCUGGACCGACAUUGACGCUGAACGGCGAAAGCUAGGGGAGCAAACGGGAUUAGAUACCCCGGUAGUCCUAGCCCCAAACGAUGAAUGCUUGGUGUAACGGGUAUCGAUCCCUGUUGUGCCGAAGCUAACGCAUUAAGCAUUCCGCCUGGGGAGUACGGUCGCAAGGCUG
RNAcentral lists this ribosomal RNA (372 nucleotides) under uncultured organism. Its description in RNAcentral is "bacterial SSU rRNA". It matches the Rfam family "Bacterial small subunit ribosomal RNA", at positions 526 to 896 of the family's 1533-position model. The record is from RNAcentral.